UAAGGUGACUAUAGCGACGGGGUUCCACCUCUUCCCAUUCCGAACAGAGAAGUUAAGCCCGCCAGCGCCGAUGGUACUGCGAAAGCGGGAGAGCAGGUCGUCGCCGACU
Molecule: ribosomal RNA, 109 nt
Filed under: Bacteroidales bacterium
Lineage: Bacteria; Pseudomonadati; Bacteroidota; Bacteroidia; Bacteroidales
Source: RNAcentral